This 157-nucleotide ribosomal RNA is filed under the name Enterobacter hormaechei subsp. xiangfangensis. Its description in RNAcentral is "partial 23S ribosomal RNA". It matches the Rfam family "Bacterial large subunit ribosomal RNA", at positions 1698 to 1838 of the family's 2925-position model. Lineage: Bacteria; Pseudomonadati; Pseudomonadota; Gammaproteobacteria; Enterobacterales; Enterobacteriaceae. The record is from RNAcentral.
ACUCGGGUGAAGGAACUAGGCAAAAUGGUGCCGUAACUUCGGGAGAAGGCACGCUGAUAUGUAGGUGAAGUCCCUGCGGACGGAGCUGAAAUCAGUCGAAGAUACCAGCUGGCUGCAACUGUUUAUUAAAAACACAGCACUGUGCAAACACGAAAGU